RNAcentral lists this ribosomal RNA (2552 nucleotides) under Shigella sonnei. RNAcentral's name for it is "bacterial LSU rRNA". It matches the Rfam family "Bacterial large subunit ribosomal RNA", at positions 236 to 2812 of the family's 2925-position model. The record is from RNAcentral. Lineage: Bacteria; Pseudomonadati; Pseudomonadota; Gammaproteobacteria; Enterobacterales; Enterobacteriaceae.
UCCCCCAGUAGCGGCGAGCGAACGGGGAGGAGCCCAGAGCCUGAAUCAGUGUGUGUGUUAGUGGAAGCGUCUGGAAAGGCGCGCGAUACAGGGUGACAGCCCCGUACACAAAAAUACACAUAUUGUGAGCUCGAUGAGUAGGGCGGGACACGUGGUAUCCUGUCUGAAUAUGGGGGGACCAUCCUCCAAGGCUAAAUACUCCUGACUGACCGAUAGUGAACCAGUACCGUGAGGGAAAGGCGAAAAGAACCCCGGCGAGGGGAGUGAAAAAGAACCUGAAACCGUGUACGUACAAGCAGUGGGAGCACGCUUAGGCGUGUGACUGCGUACCUUUUGUAUAAUGGGUCAGCGACUUAUAUUCUGUAGCAAGGUUAACCGAAUAGGGGAGCCGAAGGGAAACCGAGUCUUAACUGGGCGUUAAGUUGCAGGGUAUAGACCCGAAACCCGGUGAUCUAGCCAUGGGCAGGUUGAAGGUUGGGUAACACUAACUGGAGGACCGAACCGACUAAUGUUGAAAAAUUAGCGGAUGACUUGUGGCUGGGGGUGAAAGGCCAAUCAAACCGGGAGAUAGCUGGUUCUCCCCGAAAGCUAUUUAGGUAGCGCCUCGUGAAUUCAUCUCCGGGGGUAGAGCACUGUUUCGGCAAGGGGGUCAUCCCGACUUACCAACCCGAUGCAAACUGCGAAUACCGGAGAAUGUUAUCACGGGAGACACACGGCGGGUGCUAACGUCCGUCGUGAAGAGGGAAACAACCCAGACCGCCAGCUAAGGUCCCAAAGUCAUGGUUAAGUGGGAAACGAUGUGGGAAGGCCCAGACAGCCAGGAUGUUGGCUUAGAAGCAGCCAUCAUUUAAAGAAAGCGUAAUAGCUCACUGGUCGAGUCGGCCUGCGCGGAAGAUGUAACGGGGCUAAACCAUGCACCGAAGCUGCGGCAGCGACGCUUAUGCGUUGUUGGGUAGGGGAGCGUUCUGUAAGCCUGCGAAGGUGUGCUGUGAGGCAUGCUGGAGGUAUCAGAAGUGCGAAUGCUGACAUAAGUAACGAUAAAGCGGGUGAAAAGCCCGCUCGCCGGAAGACCAAGGGUUCCUGUCCAACGUUAAUCGGGGCAGGGUGAGUCGACCCCUAAGGCGAGGCCGAAAGGCGUAGUCGAUGGGAAACAGGUUAAUAUUCCUGUACUUGGUGUUACUGCGAAGGGGGGACGGAGAAGGCUAUGUUGGCCGGGCGACGGUUGUCCCGGUUUAAGCGUGUAGGCUGGUUUUCCAGGCAAAUCCGGAAAAUCAAGGCUGAGGCGUGAUGACGAGGCACUACGGUGCUGAAGCAACAAAUGCCCUGCUUCCAGGAAAAGCCUCUAAGCAUCAGGUAACAUCAAAUCGUACCCCAAACCGACACAGGUGGUCAGGUAGAGAAUACCAAGGCGCUUGAGAGAACUCGGGUGAAGGAACUAGGCAAAAUGGUGCCGUAACUUCGGGAGAAGGCACGCUGAUAUGUAGGUGAAGUCCCUUGCGGAUGGAGCUGAAAUCAGUCGAAGAUACCAGCUGGCUGCAACUGUUUAUUAAAAACACAGCACUGUGCAAACACGAAAGUGGACGUAUACGGUGUGACGCCUGCCCGGUGCCGGAAGGUUAAUUGAUGGGGUCAGCGCAAGCGAAGCUCUUGAUCGAAGCCCCGGUAAACGGCGGCCGUAACUAUAACGGUCCUAAGGUAGCGAAAUUCCUUGUCGGGUAAGUUCCGACCUGCACGAAUGGCGUAAUGAUGGCCAGGCUGUCUCCACCCGAGACUCAGUGAAAUUGAACUCGCUGUGAAGAUGCAGUGUACCCGCGGCAAGACGGAAAGACCCCGUGAACCUUUACUAUAGCUUGACACUGAACAUUGAGCCUUGAUGUGUAGGAUAGGUGGGAGGCUUUGAAGUGUGGACGCCAGUCUGCAUGGAGCCGGCCUUGAAAUACCACCCUUUAAUGUUUGAUGUUCUAACGUGGACCCGUGAUCCGGGUUGCGGACAGUGUCUGGUGGGUAGUUUGACUGGGGCGGUCUCCUCCUAAAGAGUAACGGAGGAGCACGAAGGUUGGCUAAUCCUGGUCGGACAUCAGGAGGUUAGUGCAAUGGCAUAAGCCAGCUUGACUGCGAGCGUGACGGCGCGAGCAGGUGCGAAAGCAGGUCAUAGUGAUCCGGUGGUUCUGAAUGGAAGGGCCAUCGCUCAACGGAUAAAAGGUACUCCGGGGAUAACAGGCUGAUACCGCCCAAGAGUUCAUAUCGACGGCGGUGUUUGGCACCUCGAUGUCGGCUCAUCACAUCCUGGGGCUGAAGUAGGUCCCAAGGGUAUGGCUGUUCGCCAUUUAAAGUGGUACGCGAGCUGGGUUUAGAACGUCGUGAGACAGUUCGGUCCCUAUCUGCCGUGGGCGCUGGAGAACUGAGGGGGGCUGCUCCUAGUACGAGAGGACCGGAGUGGACGCAUCACUGGUGUUCGGGUUGUCAUGCCAAUGGCACUGCCCGGUAGCUAAAUGCGGAAGAGAUAAGUGCUGAAAGCAUCUAAGCACGAAACUUGCCCCGAGAUGAGUUCU